UACGUAGGGCGCAAGCGUUGUCCGGAAUUAUUGGGCGUAAAGGGCUCGUAGGCGGUUUGUCGCGUCGGGAGUGAAAUCCACUGGCUUAACUGGUGGCUUGCUUUCGAUACGGGCAGACUGGAGGUAUGCAGGGGAGAACGGAAUUCCUGGUGUAGCGGUGAAAUGCGCAGAUAUCAGGAGGAACACCGGUGGCGAAGGCGGUUCUCUGGGCAUGUCCUGACGCUGAGGAGCGAAAGUGUGGGGAGCGAACAGG
This 253-nucleotide ribosomal RNA is filed under the name uncultured bacterium. Its description in RNAcentral is "partial 16S ribosomal RNA". It matches the Rfam family "Bacterial small subunit ribosomal RNA", at positions 524 to 776 of the family's 1533-position model. The record is from RNAcentral.